CCUACGGGGGGCAGCAGUGAGGAAUAUUGGUCAAUGGACGCAAGUCUGAACCAGCCAUGCCGCGUGCAGGAAGACGGCUCUAUGAGUUGUAAACUGCUUUUGUACGAGGGUAAACGCAGAUACGCGUAUCUUUCUGAAAGUAUCGUACGAAUAAGGAUCGGCUAACUCCGUGCCAGCAGCCGCGGUAAUACGGAGGAUUCAAGCGUUAUCCGGAUUUAUUGGGUUUAAAGGGUGCGUAGGCGGUCGGAUAAGUUAGAGGUGAAAUCCUGAGGCUAAACUUCGGAAUUGCAUCUGAUACUGUUCGGCUAGAGAGUAGUUGCGGUAGGCGGAAUGUAUGGUGUAGCGGUGAAAUGCUUAGAGAUCAUACAGAACACCGAUUGCGAAGGCAGCUUACCAAGCUACUUCUGACGUUGGGGCACGAAAGCGUGGGGAGCAAACAGGAUUAGAUACCCCGUAGUC
This 459-nucleotide ribosomal RNA is filed under the name uncultured bacterium. RNAcentral's name for it is "partial 16S ribosomal RNA". It matches the Rfam family "Bacterial small subunit ribosomal RNA", at positions 338 to 795 of the family's 1533-position model. The record is from RNAcentral.